UACAGAGGGGGCAAGCGUUGUUCGGAAUUACUGGGCGUAAAGGGCGCGUAGGCGGCCCGCUAAGUCGAACGUGAAAUCCCCGAGCUCAACUCGGGAACUGCGUCCGAUACUGGCGGGCUUGAAUCCGGGAGAGGGAUGCGGAAUUCCAGGUGUAGCGGUGAAAUGCGUAGAUAUCAUUUGGAACGCCAAUGGUGAAAACAGGUAGCUGGGAGUGUGCUGACGCUGAGACACGAAAGCCAGGGGAGCAAACGGG
This 253-nucleotide ribosomal RNA is filed under the name uncultured bacterium. Its description in RNAcentral is "partial 16S ribosomal RNA". It matches the Rfam family "Bacterial small subunit ribosomal RNA", at positions 524 to 776 of the family's 1533-position model. The record is from RNAcentral.